AUUGAACGCUGGCGGCAUGCCUUACACAUGCAAGUCGAACGGUAACAGGUCUUCGGAUGCUGACGAGUGGCGAACGGGUGAGUAAUACAUCGGAACGUGCCUAGUAGUGGGGGAUAACUACUCGAAAGAGUGGCUAAUACCGCAUGAGAUCUACGGAUGAAAGCAGGGGAUCGCAAGACCUUGUGCUACUAGAGCGGCCGAUGGCAGAUUAGGUAGUUGGUGGGAUAAAAGCUUACCAAGCCGACGAUCUGUAGCUGGUCUGAGAGGACGAUCCGCCACACUGGGACUGAGACACGGCCCAGACUCCUACGGAAGGCAGCAGUGGGGAAUUUUGGACAAUGGGCGAAAGCCUGAUUCAGCAAUGCCGCGUGCAGGAUGAAGGCCUUCGGGUUGUAAACUGCUUUUGUACGGAACGAAAAGCCCCGGGUUAAUACCCUGGGGUCAUGACGGUACCGUAAGAAUAAGCACCGGCUAACUACGUGCCAGCCGCCGCGGUAA
This 498-nucleotide ribosomal RNA is filed under the name uncultured bacterium. Its description in RNAcentral is "partial 16S ribosomal RNA". It matches the Rfam family "Bacterial small subunit ribosomal RNA", at positions 30 to 523 of the family's 1533-position model. The record is from RNAcentral.